Mastomys coucha (southern multimammate mouse) is the source of this 730-nucleotide long non-coding RNA. RefSeq lists it as uncharacterized. The transcript has 4 exons. NCBI's taxonomy places the organism in Eukaryota, Metazoa, Chordata, Mammalia, Rodentia, Muridae. The record is from RefSeq and is a predicted model, not a curated record.
AACACAGGAAUGUAUGAAAUUCCUGGUAUGCAUACAUGAAGCCCCUGUUGUUGAGUGUAUUACAUAAAAGAUCUUUACUUCAACCAGAAUAACUACUGAUGUUAAUGAUCCAUCCUGCCAAUGGAGAAGAUGUUGAUGUUAAUAUUCUCUCCUACCCUCUGAAUCUAUGCUGAUAUCAAGGAUACACCCAGGAACAGAUAUCAAGAUUAUCCAUGAUCGAUGCUACCACAGGCAACCUUGACCCCGGUGAUCCCUGAUGCAAGUUCCAUUCGGCCACUAGGAAAGAGGUUUCUGUACAUGGUCUGACCUGCCCUCUGAAACUGUCACUGAUGAUGUCACUGAUACCUCCCAGACACAAAGACCAUGAUGUAACCAAGAUCACUGCUGCCACCAAUCUACCAGCAUUCUUGAUGCGUCCAUCAUUACUAUUGAGAUCCUAUCUACCACAGGAAGCUAUGUUAUAUGUUCUGAGCUGCCACGUGAGUGAUGUGUGUGAUUCAACUUGCAACUAGAAGCUAUGAUGUUAUCACUGCUGCCUGCUGUUACCAAAACAUGAUGGUUUUCAUAGAUCAUAUUGAGAUCCUACCUGCCACAAGAAACUAAGAUACUGGCACAGGAAUUAAUGAUGAUGUUACAAAUGCAUGCAUGCAGUCCCUGUUAUAGAAUAUAUUAUGUACAAGAUCCUUGCUCCCACCAGAUGAGCUGCUGGUGUCAGUGAUCUAGUCACCCA